Molecule: long non-coding RNA, 3402 nt
Organism: Oncorhynchus tshawytscha (Chinook salmon)
Lineage: Eukaryota; Metazoa; Chordata; Actinopteri; Salmoniformes; Salmonidae
Exons: 3
Source: RefSeq, a predicted model, not a curated record
CCACACUCCAGUCCAGUUGUUGGUGGUAAUGCAUCUUAAAGUUGGUGGCCUACACUGCUAUAUAAAGUACGAAGAAGCCUGAAGGAGGAGAGAUUACUAGAAAACAAACGUUUACCUGUGGAUUAAUUGUCGGAGUAGAAGAUUUUGUGCAUUUCAGGUAAAUGGUAAUAUGCUCUACACCGCUCUGGUGACAGACUUUGCUGCCUUGUUUCCAAUCGUCCACAUGGCUGCGAGAACCUAUUCAAGUAAGUAAAUCCAUUUAAAGUGUAAACUAUAUUAUUAGCUACAGUGCAGUCUAACUCAAAUGAGCUGCUAACGUAACUAGCUAGCCAUCUAGCCAACUUUACGCUGCAAGGUUUGGUGACCAGGGCCAUCUGGGACUGCCUCCUGAGGGCCUUCAGGCGUGUCAAGGCUACCUGUGUCCUGCAUAACUUCAUGGACAUGAGGACCAGGAGGGGGGAGGGGGGGGGAUCUACAGCUUGCCGCCGUGUGCCAGAGGAGAGGUCUACAGGAUGUUUCAAGGAUGGGGGCAAACAACUCAGCACAGGAGGCAAUCCACUUCCAUUUACUUAGCUAUGUCAACUGCAGUUAUUUAAUUCCAGGUGAGGGUGCUGUCUGUACAAAAACAAAACAGGCUCUUUUAAGAGUCGCCCAUAUUGAGAACAAUUACACCCUAUAACCCACACCUACACACUUGUGUAUCAAUCUGAUGUGUUGUGCAGGCUCAGGUGUAACUGUGGCUCCUUCCACCUUCAAAAGAAUAGACAAAGGGAACCAACCAUGGAGAAUAGUAAGACACGUCAUUAUUUAACGUAGUAGACGCUAUAUAGUUUGUCAUGUCUGUUUUUCAGUAUAAAGUACUCUGCAGCCACUUAGUGUGGACACCAGGUGAGACCACACACACAUUCCUGUUGAACACUCUCUUUACUCAAAACAGUCUCUGUCCUUUACUUCAUCCCCUUCUCCCUAAAUCAUCUAGGUUAUAUCAGCUGUGUCGGUGAACUCCUCCCACAUCUGAACUGGCUGACAGAGGGCACAGCAUGCUGAGAGAAGAAAAUCACCAGCGAUGGGUCGCGCAGCGUCAAACUCGUCAUGCAAACCAGUCGAUAUGAUUGGUCAUCGCCCAGGUCGCCACUGACGUUUUCCAUGAACUUGGGAACUGCUUUUGACUCUUCACUCUCCCGCUCAACCCCUUUUCAUAGCCUCCUCCUGAAAUAUAUUUGAUACAUUUAUCUUUGUAUGUUUUUGUAUUUAAGACUCAGCGAUAUGACGUAGAUGCAAAGUAAACCGAAUAGUGAGUCAAAGUCCGCAACAACUAAUAGGGUUGAAGCGCGAGGCUAAACUUCUACGCUGUUUUUGUUUCCACACGUUAUGAACCAGUGCAGAUACUGUGUGAGAGAGAAGUCUUAUAUCUCGCUCAUUGUAAUAUCGUCCUUGCCCCUAAUGUCCACGUAAUUCCGCUGAGUCUACCUUUCAAAGAUGUGCAAAACACAUUUCUGCAUAUUGGAUUUUCAUGGUUUUGACACAUGUAUUUUAAAUGUAUAGUUGAAUUGUUAUCAGAAAAUAAGAGGCACGCUUUUUGGGAACGACAGAUACAAUUUGAGUAGUGCUGUCUUUUACUGACCAGAGGUGUCACCUCGUAGAUAACCUCUGAACUUCAUCUAAAAUGUUUACACAGUAUCUCUGCCACAGUACUCUUCCCUGCCGCUGGAGGGCCCAGCAGACAGACUGAUUGGAAAACAAACAGCACAAUAUCUCAAUAUUCUAUGUCUGGCUUGAAUAUGGGUAUAAGGCAAUAAUACCAUUGUACACUCAUUGCUGUGUACUUGCUACAACCCUGUACUCCUACAAUACAUAUAUUAUAAACUGAUGCUGGACAGCUUUUUGUUAAUACUGCAACUGGACCACUCACUAGAAGUUGACAGUUUGUAUUCCUCCACCACCCGGUUGAUUUCUUCCUUUAUCAACAAUUCCAGCCUCGGAUACCCAGUGGAGAUUGAAGGUAUCCUUCAGACUGGUUAUAUCCACAAAUUGACACUCCAGUAAUCCACAUCUGUGUGCAUUUUUAUUUUUUAAAUGGGUCAAACUGAUGCUCAAAUUUAGACCAGUCCCAGAUCUACUGCUGUACUGCCAAUGUCCUCCCAUCGUCGACCAUAGGAGUUGUCAAGACUGUCAAACAAACUGAUCUGGGACCAGGCUAGUGAAGAUAUGCUCCAACUGACCAUUGUCAUUUCUGAAUUAGAUUUCCUAAACCUGAGACAGGGAUCAAAUUAGACAUACCGUCAGAGCCUUAGUGAGGUAGUCCUCCUUGGAGGACUUUCUUGAUCUGCCCUGGACUGAACAUUUGAGUCAUUUAGCAGACCCUCUUAUCCAGAGAGACUUAUAGGAGCAAUUAGGGUUAAGUGCCUUGCUCAAGGGCACAUCAGAUUUUUCAUGUAGUUGGCUCAGGGAAUCGAAUCAGGGAAUCGUAUCAGCGACCUUCCAGUUACCGGCCCAACGCUCUUAACCGCUAGGCUCCCACCCCUUAUUAUCUAUACAGAAAACACCAACCAAUUAAAAUCCACAUCUAUUUAAAAUAAAGAAAUGCAACAAUUUUACAAAUGCACUUACUGAUCAUAGAUAUGUCUUAGCUUGUGUUUUUUAUAUAUUAUUUUAACAUUUCCGUCAUUUAGCAGACCCUCUUAGCCAGAGCGACUUAUAGUUGUGAAUGCAUACCUUGACUUUUUUUCAUACUGGUCCCCAAUGGGAAUCAAACCCACAUCUUGGCGAAGGCCGUGCGCCGUGCUCUACCAGCUGAGCCACAUGGGACAAUAUCCUCCAGUGUACUUGGAAUCAUCCACAGCGAUGGAACAAUGUGUCUUCUGGCCUGUGGUCGAUAACAUUCUGGAUAACCCUUGUAGACAGACUGAGGUAAACAGUAAUUGUAGGAUGUGUAAGUAUUUUCUUCACCCCAACUCUGGCAGAUUUCCUUGAAUAAGCAGUAAAUGAACAUUAAUGGACCCAUAGAAAAAUACAAACUCUGCAAGGUCGCCGACAAAUGGUACGGAUAAUAUUUAUGCCCAAAAACAGGGACUCCUGCAAACUCCAAGCCAAUUCACCCGGAUGAGUCGAGACAGAAAAACAGUGAGAAAAUGUCCAUCGAAGCCUCGAUAGUCUAAUAAUGUAUAUUGUACCUUGAAGAAGUCCAGAAGGUUCUUCCAUUCUAUAUUGGACACCCGCCACCACAUAACUGGACAGCUUGGACUUUUCCUGAAUGGUAAAUAAAAAGUUGUUUUUGCAAUUGUUGAUGACGUUUGCCCAGCCCAUUAUACUUAAGCAAUAAGGCCAGAGGGGGUGUGGUAUAUAGCCAAUAUACCACGGCUAAGGACUGUUCUUUGCGGCGUGCCUGGAUACAGCCCUUAG